Molecule: antisense RNA, 75 nt
Filed under: Streptomyces bingchenggensis BCW-1
Lineage: Bacteria; Bacillati; Actinomycetota; Actinomycetes; Kitasatosporales; Streptomycetaceae
Description: ASpks TB sRNA
Rfam family: ASpks TB sRNA
Source: Rfam by way of RNAcentral
CUUGAUCGAGCCCAGCAGGACCGGGUGUUGCUCGUCCCGGCCCUGACCGUACGUCGCGAGCAGCGCCUGUGCUUC